GAUAAACGCUGGCGGCGCACAUAAGACAUGCAAGUCGAACGAACUUAAUCGAAAGUUUACUUUUGAAGCGGUUAGUGGCGGACUGGUGAGUAACGCGUAAGCAAUCUGCCUAUUAGAGGGGAAUAACAGUGAGAAAUCAUUGCUAAUACCGCAUAAGCUGUGAGUAUCGCAUGGUACAAACAGAAAAGGAGUAAUCCGCUGAUAGAUGAGCUUGCGUCUGAUUAGUUAGUUGGCGAGGGUAAAGGCCCACCAAGACGAUGAUCAGUAGCCGGACUGAGAGGUUGAACGGCCACAUUGGGACUGAGAUACGGCCCAGACUCCUACGGGAGGCAGCAGUCGGGAAUAUUGCGCAAUGGAGGGAACUCUGACGCAGUGACGCCGCGUGCAGGAAGAAGGUUUUCGGAUUGUAAACUGCUUUAGACAGGGAAGAAAGAAAUGACGGUACCUGAAGAAUAAGCUCCGGCUAACUACGUGCCAGCAGCCGCGGUAAUACGUAGGGAGCGAGCGUUAUCCGGAUUUAUUGGGUGUAAAGGGUGCGUAGACGGAUAGGCAAGUUAGCUGUGAAAUACCUCGGCUUAACUGAGGAACUGCAACUAAAACUACCGAUCUUGAGUACUGGAGGGGAAAGCGGAAUUCCUAGUGUAGCGGUGAAAUGCGUAGAUAUUAGGAAGAACACCGGUGGCGAAGGCGGCUUUCUGGACAGAAACUGACGUUGAGGCACGAAAGUGUGGGGAGCAAACAGGAUUAGAUACCCUGGUAGUCC
This 763-nucleotide ribosomal RNA is filed under the name uncultured bacterium. RNAcentral's name for it is "bacterial SSU rRNA". It matches the Rfam family "Bacterial small subunit ribosomal RNA", at positions 28 to 796 of the family's 1533-position model. The record is from RNAcentral.